CGCUGAGCAUGACCAGCCCCAGCACACUGGCGACCCGGGCCAUUUUGCAGUUUCUCAUCCCGGGCCGCGCCGGGCUCGGGGAAAGCGGGGGACGCGGUGCACGGAGCUGCCGGCCGCUCGCCGGCGUGUCAGCGCGUGUCUGCCUGCCCUGCGUUCUGUGUUUGGGAAACAGCACACCAGAACACUGAUCGGUUUGAUGUGUUGGAUCAGAGGCAGGAGACGAAGAGUGAGUACAGAGAAGCCAACAGGCCUGGCACACAGCCCAGGAGUGGAAGCCGUGUGGAAAUCUGACGCCCAGACUUUGUGAAAAGUGGAAAACGAAAAGGUGCUGCCUCUUACACACCUCAGCUAUGUGUGUGAUCUGUUGCUGACUAAUGCAUCUUUAAGGAACAUAAAUUGGAAUUAUCCAGCUAACUCUGAUGAGCUGUACUUGUCUAGAAGAAGAUUCUUGAAGUAGAGCAAGACUUGAGAAGCACGGAGAGAACCAGUAUAAUGGGACUAGGAGAUGGCUCUGCAACAAGAAGUAUCUUUUGAAUAAACAUCUUCUUCCAAAGAAACCAAUUUUCUAGAUGGAAAGUUCACCUCAGAGUCCUCCUGAGACAGUGCUGUUUCCUCUCACAGGAAUGUGGAGUUGGAAUUCAGAGAGGCUGGGCUUGCUUAGUUGCCAACUUUGGUCCUGAUGUAAUAUUGUUUGGCAAUGUAGGCCAUCUUGGCUAUUGGCCCUGUAGUAUUGGAGCAGCUGUUUUAAGGCAGUGAUUAGUGAUCCACAUGGACAGGCAUCAGAAAAGUCAGACUAGAGAAAAAAAAAACAAAAGAAGGGAAUAGAAAGAAGCAUGUGUGAGCACCCAAAAGAAACCAGAGAGAGGACUAUAAGAGUUUUAUUUGCUAUAAAUGGUGUGCUGAUGAACAUCCUUAUAUGUGUGCAUUUUUCUAUACCUGUGAUUAUUUUUUAAAUGAUGACUUCAUGUGAGUGAAGUUUUUGAAUCAAAAAAUUACAUUUUGGGAAGGGAGCAUAACACGACGCUUGCCAUAGCCAUGCCUCCGGACUCCACAGCAGGCUGUUUCACUCAGGGUACCCCAGAGGGGGGCGGAUGAGAGCCCUCCCCAUCCCAAGGGAUCCAGCCCUGGCAGUCAAAACCCUCCCGAACUCAACCACCGCCAUGCCCAAGGCCGCUUCCCACACACUUGGGUCGAGGCCCACACAUGAGUGAAUGUACUCCUGGAUCACGGCCGCAAAUGCAGCUGUGCGACACAUCAUAAGACACACCUACCAUUCUCUAUAAAUAUCACACCACAAAUGAUGGGGUUCAGAUAGUAGGCAAAAAAUCAUAGAGGGAAAUAUAUAUGCAUAUAAACAUAUUUUCAUGUAUAUAUAUGAAAUCUCACACCACUGAACCUUUAACAACAUGUUAGUGAUAUCAAAGAAUAUUUUAAUGGCCCCUGCCAAAAUAGGACAAUCUUUACACUGUUUCCUAUAUGAAUACUUUUUUUGUAAGCAUUUUCAGUGGUUCUUCAUAACAGAUAGUACAAAAUAU
Sorex araneus (European shrew) is the source of this 1535-nucleotide long non-coding RNA. RefSeq lists it as uncharacterized. NCBI's taxonomy places the organism in Eukaryota, Metazoa, Chordata, Mammalia, Eulipotyphla, Soricidae. The transcript is spliced from 4 exons. The record is from RefSeq and is a predicted model, not a curated record.